This 102-nucleotide Y RNA is filed under the name Microcebus murinus (gray mouse lemur). RNAcentral's name for it is "Y RNA (ENSMICG00000042327.1)". It matches the Rfam family "Y RNA". From Rfam's summary of the family: Y RNAs are components of the Ro ribonucleoprotein particle (Ro RNP), in association with Ro60 and La proteins. The Y RNAs and Ro60 and La proteins are well conserved, but the function of the Ro RNP is not known. In humans the RNA component can be one of four small RNAs -- hY1, hY3, hY4 and hY5. Lineage: Eukaryota; Metazoa; Chordata; Mammalia; Primates; Cheirogaleidae. The record is from Rfam by way of RNAcentral.
GGUUGGUCCGAGUGCAGUGGUGUUUACAACUAAUUGAUCACAACCAGUUACAGAUUCCUUUGUUCCUUCUCCACUCCCACUGCUCCACUUGACCAACCUUAA